RNAcentral lists this ribosomal RNA (442 nucleotides) under uncultured soil bacterium. RNAcentral's name for it is "bacterial SSU rRNA". It matches the Rfam family "Bacterial small subunit ribosomal RNA", at positions 26 to 454 of the family's 1533-position model. The record is from RNAcentral.
AGAGUGAACGCUGGCGGCAGGCCUAAUACAUGCAAGUCGAACGGCAGCACAGCAGAGCUUGCUCUGUGGGUGGCGAGUGGCGGACGGGUGAGGAAUACAUGGGAAUCUGCCCAGUCGUGGGGGAUAACGUAGGGAAACUUACGCUAAUACCGCAUGCGCCCUUCGGGGGAAAGCCGGGGACCUUCGGGCCUGGCGCGAUUGGAUGAGCCCAUGUCGGAUUAGCUAGUUGGGGGGUAAAGCCCACAAGGCGACGAUCCGUAGCUGGUCUGAGAGGAUGAUCAGCCACACUGGAACUGAGACACGGUCCAGACUCCUACGGGAGCAGCAGUAGGAAUAGUUGGACAAGUGGGCGACAAGCCUGACUCCAGCCAUCGGCCGCGUGUGUAGAAGGAAGGUCCCUUAGGGUUAGUAAAGCUAACGUUUUUCGUAACCGGAAAGAAAG